AACGAACGCUGGCGGCAUGCCUAACACAUGCAAGUCGAACGAGACCUUCGGGUCUAGUGGCGCACGGGUGCGUAACGCGUGGGAACCUGCCCUUAGGUUCGGAAUAACUCCCCGAAAGGGGUGCUAAUACCGGAUAAUGUCUUCGGACCAAAGAUUUAUCGCCUUUGGAUGGGCCCGCGUUGGAUUAGCUAGUUGGUAGGGUAAAAGCCUACCAAGGCGACGAUCCAUAGCUGGUCUGAGAGGAUGAUCAGCCACACUGGGACUGAGACACGGCCCAGACUCCUCCGGGGGGCCGCAGUGGGGAAUAUUGGACACUGGGCGAAACCCUGCCCCAGCAAUGCCGCGUGGGUGAUGAAGGCCUUAGGGUUGUAAAGCUCUUUUCCCCGGGAUGAUAAUGACAGUCCCGGGAGAAUAAGCCCCGGCUAACCCCGU
Molecule: ribosomal RNA, 432 nt
Filed under: uncultured bacterium
Lineage: Bacteria
Description: partial 16S ribosomal RNA
Rfam family: Bacterial small subunit ribosomal RNA
Source: RNAcentral